RNAcentral lists this ribosomal RNA (483 nucleotides) under uncultured bacterium. RNAcentral's name for it is "partial 16S ribosomal RNA". It matches the Rfam family "Bacterial small subunit ribosomal RNA", at positions 29 to 523 of the family's 1533-position model. The record is from RNAcentral.
AGUGAACGCUGGCGGCGUGCUUAACACAUGCAAGUCGAACGAGAACGGAUUAUAGCUUGCUAUAAUUGUCAGCUAAGUGGCGCACGGGUGAGUAAUGUAUAGGUAAUAUGCCUCUUACUAAGGGAUAACAAAUGGAAACGUUUGCUAAUACCUUAUACUCCUUAUUAACAGAAGUUAAUAAGGGAAAGAUUUAUUGGUAGAGAUUAGCCUGUAUUGUAUCAGUUAGUUGGUGGGGUAAUGGCUUACCAAGACUAUGACACAUAACUGGUUUGAGAGGAUGAUCAGUCACACUGGAACUGAGACACGGUCCAGACUCCUACGGGAGGCAGCAGUGGGGAAUAUUGCACAAUGGACGAAAGUCUGAUGCAGCAACGCCGCGUGGAGGAUGACACAUUUCGGUGCGUAAACUCCUUUUAUAUGAGAAGAUAAUGACGGUAUUAUAUGAAUAAGCACCGGCUAACUCCGUGCCAGCCGCCGCCGUAA